UGGGGAAUCUUGGACAAUGGGCGCAAGCCUGAUCCAGCCAUGCCGCGUGGAUGAUGAAGGCCUUAGGGUUGUAAAAUCCUUUCGUGGGGGACGAUAAUGACGGUACCCCAAGAAGAAGCUCCGGCUAACUUCGUGCCAGCAGCCGCGGUAAUACGAAGGGGGCUAGCGUUGUUCGGAAUUACUGGGCGUAAAGCGCACGUAGGCGGAUUUGUCAGUCAGGGGUGAAAUCCCGGGGCUCAACCUCGGAACUGCCUUUGAUACAGCAAGUCUUGAGUCCGAUAGAGGUGAGUGGAAUUCCUAGUGUAGAGGUGAAAUUCGUAGAUAUUAGGAAGAACACCGGUGGCGAAGGCGGCUCACUGGAUCGGU
RNAcentral lists this ribosomal RNA (366 nucleotides) under uncultured bacterium. RNAcentral describes it as "bacterial SSU rRNA". It matches the Rfam family "Bacterial small subunit ribosomal RNA", at positions 355 to 738 of the family's 1533-position model. The record is from RNAcentral.